Molecule: ribosomal RNA, 846 nt
Filed under: uncultured bacterium
Lineage: Bacteria
Description: bacterial SSU rRNA
Rfam family: Bacterial small subunit ribosomal RNA
Source: RNAcentral
UUGAACGCUGGCGGCAUGCUUUACACAUGCAAGUCGAACGGCAGCACGGGGGCAACCCUGGUGGCGAGUGGCGAACGGGUGAGUAAUAUAUCGGAACAUGUCCGGAAGUGGGGGAUAACGUACCGAAAGGUACGCUAAUACCGCAUAUGCCCUGAGGGGGAAAGCGGGGGAUCGUAAGACCUCGCGCUUUCGGAGUGGCCGAUAUCAGAUUAGCUAGUUGGUGAGGUAAAGGCUCACCAAGGCGACGAUCUGUAGCUGGUCUGAGAGGACGACCAGCCACACUGGAACUGAGACACGGUCCAGACUCCUACGGGAGGCAGCAGUGGGGAAUUUUGGACAAUGGGCGAAAGCCUGAUCCAGCCAUACCGCGUGAGUGAAGAAGGCCUUCGGGUUGUAAAGCUCUUUCAGCCGGAAAGAAAUCCUGCUUACUAAUACUAAGUGGGGAUGACGGUACCGGAAGAAGAAGCACCGGCUAACUACGUGCCAGCAGCCGCGGUAAUACGUAGGGUGCGAGCGUUAAUCGGAAUUACUGGGCGUAAAGCGUGCGCAGGCGGUUUUAUAAGCCAGAUGUGAAAUCCCCGGGCUUAACCUGGGAACUGCAUUUGGAACUGUAAGACUAGAGUGUAGCAGAGGGGGGUAGAAUUCCACGUGUAGCAGUGAAAUGCGUAGAGAUGUGGAGGAAUACCGAUGGCGAAGGCAGCCCCCUGGGCUAACACUGACGCUCAUGCACGAAAGCGUGGGGAGCAAACAGGAUUAGAUACCCUGGUAGUCCACGCCCUAAACGAUGUCAACUAGUUGUUGGGGAAGGAGACUUUCUUAGUAACGUAGCUAACGCGUGAAGUGACC